GAUGAACGCUGGCGGCGUGCCUAAUACAUGCAAGUCGAGCGAACAGACGAGGAGCUUGCUCCUCUGACGUUAGCGGCGGACGGGUGAGUAACACGUGGAUAACCUACCUAUAAGACUGGGAUAACUUCGGGAAACCGGAGCUAAUACCGGAUAAUAUCUUGAACCGCAUGGUUCAAUAGUGAAAGACGGUUUUGCUGUCACUUAUAGAUGGAUCCGCGCCGCAUUAGCUAGUUGGUACGGUAACGGCUUACCAAGGCGACGAUGCGUAGCCGACCUGAGAGGGUGAUCGGCCACACUGGAACUGAGACACGGUCCAGACGCCUAAGAGAGGCAGCAGUAGGGAAUCGUCCGCAAUGGGCGAAAGCCUGACGGAGCAACGCCGCGUGAGUGAUGAAGGUCUUCGGAUCGUAAAACUCUGUUAUUAGGGAAGAACAAAUGUGGAAGUAACUAUGCACGUCUUGACGGUACCUAAUCAGAAAGCCACGGCUAACUACGUG
RNAcentral lists this ribosomal RNA (497 nucleotides) under uncultured bacterium. RNAcentral describes it as "partial 16S ribosomal RNA". It matches the Rfam family "Bacterial small subunit ribosomal RNA", at positions 28 to 507 of the family's 1533-position model. The record is from RNAcentral.